Molecule: ribosomal RNA, 295 nt
Filed under: Ostracion sp. AD-2003
Lineage: Eukaryota; Metazoa; Chordata; Actinopteri; Tetraodontiformes; Ostraciidae
Description: partial 12S ribosomal RNA
Rfam family: Bacterial small subunit ribosomal RNA
Source: RNAcentral
AAACAUUGACAGUAAAAUACACAUCCGCCCGGGUANUACGAGCAUCAGCUUAAAACCCAAAGGACUUGGCGGUGCUUUAGAUCCACCUAGAGGAGCCUGUUCUAGAACCGAUAACCCCCGUUAAACCUCACCCUUCCUUGUUUCCCCCGCCUAUAUACCACCGUCGUCAGCUUACCCUGUGAAGGCCCUAUAGUAAGCAAAAUUGGCACAGCCCAAAACGUCAGGUCGAGGUGUAGCGUAUGGAAGGGGAAGAAAUGGGCUACAUUCACUUCCUUAGGAAAUAACGAAACGAGUG